This 2277-nucleotide long non-coding RNA is filed under the name Toxoplasma gondii VEG. Lineage: Eukaryota; Apicomplexa; Conoidasida; Eucoccidiorida; Sarcocystidae. The record is from RNAcentral.
CUUUGAAGGACGUAAGAAGAUUUCACAAAAUCGACGUCGCAGUGUGACAUCGAGAUAUGGUUACCUAGAGCCAUCCCGAAUGACCAUCUAUCUUCGAUAUCCAGAAUGAGGUUCCCUAGAGUAAUUUACUGGUUUGUUUUUCCUUUGAUCAUGCGCUAACAGCUUUCACAGAGGGGACGGGUGGUGACACGCGACGGUUCUCAUUGACUGGCGGUGCGUAUGGACAGGGAAAAGUCUUUCAACGGGCGUUUCUGGGUUCCGAAGCUGGGCACUGGUGCGUGAGCUGACUAGAACAUUAUCCGUGUUUCUCAGCUUAAGCGUCUGUAAGCUUUCGCAAUGUCGUUGUCGUAUAUUAACAGCUACAAGCAAUAAUGCCAGCGAUUGUUGCAUCCCGCCGGCUGGCGGCGCUACUUUUCGACCGUCAGGAACCUCAAGAGGAAGCCAAUCGACGAUAUCUGUCAGCUGAGGAUCUCCUCCCACCUUCAACAAGCCGUUGUUCAGUAUGAUACAUACAGACGGGGCAGCAUGCCUGUUGUUUGUAGAUUUUGUCUGCCAUCCCGUCGUUCUUGCUGUGCACUCCAGUUUGUAAAGCACCGCAUGUUUUGAAAAACUAUUCGCGUCUGCGUUACAGCGAGAACCGGUUGCCCUUGCCCUUACGACAAUAGCUGCGUUCUACUUCAUGACGAGUUGACUGACAAAAAGCAACUGCCCAUGGUCUGGGUUUUUGAUCUUGCCUGCUUUUCGUACUGUAAUCUACUGUGUCGUUUUUGACUUCAACCGUCUUCUACUUAUGUUAGCCUUUUCUUCGCUUUAACUUGACAACGCCUUUGUAAGAUUAUUUGUCUCAGUUCUCCAGUUGGCAAGGUCAUACGCAAGUAACAUUUAUUGACUGUUGAUUGGUGCACCAUGUGAGUUAGUGUGCCAGGCAAAGCCAUAUCUCGCUGUCGCUCUUCUUUCUUUAUUAAGAGCGCCUGCCUGUUCCCAGACGCAGAUUCUUGUGACAUGCCUCCGUAUGUCCUCUGGCGUGGGCCUUGGAGAACGCCUUAAGCGGACUAGGGACGAUCUAAUCGCGUCUUUGCAAGUGCCAGGAGCUAUGACUUCGUCAAACUUUCUAGCGGUUAAAACCCCUAGUCGUUGAACUUUAUCUUAAUGAGUCCAGUUUCCGACCACACCCGAGGCACUGGCAAACAAAUGUCACCCUGUUGAAUCGUCCAUCUAUGAAAAUCAAUGUAACGAAAUACCUUGGUUUGACAAAGACUGAGGGAGUGGCCGAUUAUCUAAUUUCAUACCAAAAGGUAAGACGAAACAACCAAGGAGUAGUACUGUCCACUGCGUGUGACCCAGUAGAAAAAUCCAAUACCAGACUGCUUAAAGCCUCCGAAAGAAGGCAUGACGUCGGCACAAGGACGAGCUAAAGAGGACGAAGCUGGUAGAGCCUCUCACCAGCCCGGCAGAAGCGAGUACGGUUGCAUGUGGUAAUGACAGACGCCUCCGGAACCACUUGACAGUUUGGACGGAAAGAAGCAAGUAUGACUCCUUUUCCUACUUCUUUGCCGACCCUUCCCGAGGCAACCAGUUCCACAGAAAACCAGACGCUCGCGGCAGAACUUCAAGACUGCCCCAUCGUUGAGACCCAACGCUAACAGUAUCUUUUGCUCAACGAAAGCUAAAAUUAUCUAUUGGUCUCAGCUUUCUUUCCCAAUGUGCACGCUUUCCUGAACAGUAGUCGGUUUUUUCGUGUGAGAAUUUCGAGCCCUCCCAUAUGCUUGACUUGCCUCAUUGGUUCGGCUGAUCACAUGAUAAAGUUUGGAGAUGGCGUGCUUGAGUGUGUAGCUGUCAAGAGUUCCGCAGUAGAUGAGCACGCGCAGAAUGCAGAGGUGGUAGUGGAAUGCGGUGAAGGGAGUGUUAUGUAAGAACCGGAACGUAGGCUGGGACGGAAGAACAGAGAGGGGAACAAGAGGCACUGUUUGUUUGCCUCCUUUCGCUGCUACACGCGUUCUUUCCAUACACAUGGAAACUCCGCGUAGCGCUCAGGGACAUACCGGACACACCUGAGCAGUGUCGGACGUCGCUUGUUGGGCAGCUGUGCCCCGGGGUGUUGCACAGUACCCGAAGGAUAAGGAACUGGAACGACGCUUCCAGGAUCUAUUCCCCUAUUCCUGCACACAUGAUCGCAGGCUGGAGGGGAAACAAAAGACUAUUGUGUUCCUUCUGUUGUCGAUAAUGAGGCAGCAGAAUGAACUAAUGGACGCAGUGCAGAUGCGAACUAUGGAGCUG